This 2386-nucleotide small RNA is filed under the name Pan troglodytes (chimpanzee). RNAcentral's name for it is "retained intron". The record is from RNAcentral. Lineage: Eukaryota; Metazoa; Chordata; Mammalia; Primates; Hominidae.
CCUGCUCCUCCUUCCAAUCUCUGCUUCUCCCGGGUACCCCUCCGCCCUCCGUGGGGCCCGGGCUCUGCCCCUCCCCCCAGACCCUGCACCCUCUGCGGAUUGGUCCUCGGCCUGCUGGGGGGCGGGGCCAGAGGGCCCUGACGUCACUGGCCGAGGGGGGCGGGCGGCUGAAGGAGGGGGUGACGGGGCCCCGGCUCAGCACCUCGGAGAGCUCCCUCCCCGGCCUUGUUUUGCUCUGGCAUCGCCGCCAGGGGAGGGAGCGAGGGGGCCGGGCACCGGGCGCAAAGGCAGGGGGAUGGCCAUGGAAGGGUUGAGGGGCCCCGUCGGACAGAGGGCCCAGCCGUGAUCCAGCGACGGGUUUGGGGCUCCGGGAGGGGUGGGGGGCAGCGGGCGGCGGCAGCAGUGGCCGCACAUCUGGAUGGAAGCGAGCUUUGUCCAGACCACCAUGGCUCUGGGGCUGUCCUCCAAGAAAGCGUCCUCUCGCAACGUGGCUGUGGAGCGUAAGAACCUGAUCACCGUGUGCAGGUUCUCUGUGAAAACGCUGCUGGAGAAGUACACAGCGGAGCCCAUCGAUGACUCAUCGGAGGAGUUUGUCAAUUUUGCAGCCAUUUUAGAGCAGAUCCUCAGCCACCGCUUCAAAGCCUGUGCCCCAGCAGGUCCAGUGAGCUGGUUCAGCUCAGACGGGCAGCGGGGCUUCUGGGACUAUAUCCGGCUGGCCUGCAGCAAAGUGCCCAACAACUGUGUGAGCAGCAUCGAGAACAUGGAGAACAUCAGCACAGCCCGGGCCAAGGGCCGGGCAUGGAUCCGGGUGGCACUGAUGGAGAAGCGCAUGUCAGAAUACAUCACCACGGCUCUGCGUGACACCCGGACCACCAGACGGUUCUAUGACUCUGGAGCCAUCAUGCUGCGGGAUGAAGCCACCAUCCUCACCGGAAUGCUGAUCGGACUGAGCGCCAUCGACUUCAGCUUCUGUCUAAAGGGGGAAGUCCUGGACGGGAAGACCCCCGUGGUCAUCGAUUACACGCCCUACCUAAAGUUCACGCAGAGCUACGACUACCUGACGGACGAGGAGGAGCGGCACAGCGCCGAGAGCAGCACGAGCGAGGACAACUCGCCCGAGCACCCGUACCUGCCGCUCGUCACCGACGAGGACAGCUGGUACAGCAAGUGGCACAAGAUGGAGCAGAAGUUCCGCAUCGUCUACGCGCAGAAGGGCUACCUGGAGGAGCUGGUGCGUCUGCGCGAGUCGCAGCUGAAGGACCUGGAGGCGGAGAACCGGCGGCUUCAGCUGCAGCUGGAGGAGGCGGCGGCGCAGAACCAGCGCGAGAAACGGGAGCUGGAAGGCGUGAUCCUGGAGCUGCAGGAGCAGCUGACAGGUCUGAUCCCCAGUGACCACGCCCCUCUGGCCCAGGGUUCCAAGGAGCUCACUACACCCCUGGUCAAUCAAUGGCCCUCACUGGGAACGCUUAAUGGGGCCGAGGGCGCCAGCAACUCCAAGCUCUACCGGAGGUAAGCCCCAGCCAGGUGGGGCUUGGGCCUGAGAGCGGGUCGUCCUGGGGAAGAAGGGCUUCCUCUACCGGCGCACCAGCUCUCGCUCUGCCGCAGACACAGCUUCAUGAGCACGGAGCCGCUGUCAGCUGAAGCCAGUCUGAGCUCGGACUCCCAGCGCCUGGGAGAGGGCACGCGGGACGAGGAGCCCUGGGGUCCCAUCGAGACGGAGUUUCGCCAGGCUGGUCUCGAACUCCUGACCUCAAGUGAUUCACCCGCCUUGGCCUCCCAAAGUGCUGGGAUUACAGGGAAGGACCCCACGCCCUCCAUGCUGGGCCUCUGCGGCUCCCUGGCCUCCAUUCCCAGCUGCAAGUCCCUGGCGAGCUUCAAAUCCAACGAGUGCCUGGUGAGCGACAGUCCCGAGGGCAGCCCAGCACUGAGCCCCAGCUGAGGAACAGCAUGGGCAGUGCCAGCCCCACCUGCCAGGGGCCAUGGACACCUGCCACCUUUCUUCAACAAGAGUCCCCCAAUCCAGGCUACCCUUCCAGAGAACGCUACCCACCCAGCCAGGGUUCUCUCGGGGAAGAUCUCGUCUGCUCACCUUAGCUUUCUGCCUUGGCAGCACGGGCUGCGGAAGAAAGCACGCUGGGCCAGGAGGCAGGGGUGCCCAAGCCACAGGGAGCCCCUGGGGAAGCCUGCUCCAUUCUUCUGGUGACCUUGGCGCUCCUUCACUCAUCUCCCCUGCCCCCUCAGGACCUGGUGGCCCAGCUUCCACACCCCCACCUCCCAGUCUCUAGCCUCUCCAUCUGUCUGUGUAUGGCCUGGAGUCACUCCUUCCUCAGCCCCCAGGGCAAGAGAGCUCUGUGGGGGAUCAGGCAAAUAAAAACCAGAGGACUGA